GUUUCUUACCCGUUAUUAUUUGUUGAUCUGACAGAUGAAUUCACUUGACUCGCUACUAAAAGUUUGCCAGGAUCUGCCCAACAAUAAAAGUAAACUGUCAGCCUAUGAGGCAGGAAGAUUCAGCAUGAAAACUCCUAAUGGAAAACUGAUCGCAGAUGUUGGUUGUGAACCAAUUCUCCACAUGAGACACUUCCAGGCAACAAAAAGACUUCCAGAGAAACUAAUUCAUCAAAUCCUUCAUCAUUCCGACAAAAGUACGAGUUACUGAAAGCACGGGUGAUUGUAAAGCAACCAAUGGCUAUCCUGUAUUGAAUGCGAAUUUCAGACUGUUCUUUCUUGGGAUGUGAAGGCCUUCAACGGAAGCUAUCCUCCAAAGAAUUUUUACCGUAGAGAAUGUCUCUGAUAGAGACUGGUUGUGUUGUAUACAAAUGCGUCUUUUUCUUUUAAUUUAUUUCUCUUUUUAGUUUUGAUUUUCAACUAAUUAGUUUUGACUGAAGUUAGAUCUCUGGCAUAUAGAUCAGGCCAGAUAUAUUUGUUUGCUUACAUUUCCUUGUUUCCUUCAGAACUAACUCUGUGAUAAUGAUAAGAGUAGCUUUUUGACAAA
Long non-coding RNA from Coffea eugenioides, 604 nucleotides. RefSeq lists it as uncharacterized. The transcript is spliced from 2 exons. The record is from RefSeq and is a predicted model, not a curated record. NCBI's taxonomy places the organism in Eukaryota, Viridiplantae, Streptophyta, Magnoliopsida, Gentianales, Rubiaceae.